UACGUAGGGGGCAAGCGUUAUCCGGAAUUACUGGGUGUAAAGGGUGAGUAGGGGGCAUGGUAAGCCAGAUGUGAAAGCCUUGGGCUUAACCCGAGGAUUGCAUUUGGAACUAUCAAGCUAGAGUACAGGAGAGGAAAGCGGAAUUCCUAGUGUAGCGGUGAAAUGCGUAGAUAUUAGGGAGAACACCAGUGGCGAAGGCGGCUUUCUGGACUGAAACUGACGCUGAGGCACGAAAGCGUGGGGAGCGAACAGG
This 253-nucleotide ribosomal RNA is filed under the name uncultured bacterium. RNAcentral's name for it is "partial 16S ribosomal RNA". It matches the Rfam family "Bacterial small subunit ribosomal RNA", at positions 524 to 776 of the family's 1533-position model. The record is from RNAcentral.